Molecule: long non-coding RNA, 226 nt
Organism: Salvelinus fontinalis (brook trout)
Lineage: Eukaryota; Metazoa; Chordata; Actinopteri; Salmoniformes; Salmonidae
Exons: 3
Source: RefSeq, a predicted model, not a curated record
UAACUCUCACCAUAGAGAGAGGUUCUUCCUCUUCCUCCAUAACUCACCAUAGAGGUUCUUCCUCUUCCUCCAUAACUCUCACCAUAGAGAGAGGUUCUUCCUCUUCCUCCAUAACUCCCACCAUAGAGAGAGGUUCUUCCUCUUCCUCCAUAACUCUCACCAUAGAGAGGUUCUUCCUCUUCCUCCAUAACUCUCACCAUAGAGAGAGGUUCUUCCUCUUCCUCCA